This 365-nucleotide ribosomal RNA is filed under the name uncultured bacterium. RNAcentral's name for it is "bacterial SSU rRNA". It matches the Rfam family "Bacterial small subunit ribosomal RNA", at positions 29 to 410 of the family's 1533-position model. The record is from RNAcentral.
AAUGAACGUUGGCGGCGUGGAUUAGGCAUGCAAGUCGCGCGACAAGGAACCUUCGGGUUCUGGAGGAGCGGCAAACGGGGUAGUAAGGCAUCGGAACGUACCCUCUUGUUGGGAAUAGCCGCGGGAAACUGCGAGUAAUGCCCAAUAAUCCCUACGGGGCAAAGGUCCGCCGCAGGAGGAGCGGCCGAUGUGAUACCAGCUAGUUGGUGAGGUAAUGGCUCACCAAGGCUUAGACGUCUAGGGGGUGUGAGAGCAUGGCCCCCACCACUGGGACUGAGAUACUGCCCAGACACCUACGGGUGGCUGCAGUCGAGAAUCUUCGGCAAUGGGCGCAAGCCUGACCGAGCAACGCCGCGUGCGGGAUG